This is a long non-coding RNA of Octopus sinensis (East Asian common octopus), 424 nucleotides long. RefSeq lists it as uncharacterized. NCBI's taxonomy places the organism in Eukaryota, Metazoa, Mollusca, Cephalopoda, Octopoda, Octopodidae. The record is from RefSeq and is a predicted model, not a curated record. The transcript has 3 exons.
CUCAAACGAGGAUUUGAAAAGCGAAUAUGACCAGUUGAAGAUAGAGAAUACUAAACUGAAAGAGAAGGCUUCUGUUUUACUUGGUUAAUGAUUUGUAGAAACUAGAAGAUAAAUUAAAGAAAAAGCAGGACCUCUCGAAGCAAGCAAAAAUUUGUAAGGAAGAAUGUCAGUGUUUGCAAGAACAGAUCAAUAAAAUAAAACAACAACAUUUACUGGAGGAUUCUCGCUGUAAUCUUAUUGAAAGCAAAAUAAAUGAUUCAAACAGCAAUUUAUGUGAGCUAGAAAACAACAUUUUGGAACUAAAGACAGAGUAUUAUAAUCUUCAAGCAAAAAAAGAAUUUGAUUCCGAAAAAAUGGAACACCCUCAAUUGAUGGAUAAGGUAAAAAAAGAAAAAAACGACAUGAAAAUAAAAUAUAAUCAAAU